AGCGAACGCUGGCGGCAGGCCUAAAACAUGCAAGUCGAACGGAUCCUUCGGGAUUAGUGGCGGACGGUGAGUAACACGUGGGAACGUGCCUUUUGGUUCGGAACAACUCAGGGAAACUUGAGCUAAUACCGAAUGUGCCCUUCGGGGGAAAGAUUUAUCGCCAUUAGAGCGGCCCGCGUCUGAUUAGCUUGUUGGUGAGGUAAAGGCUCACCAAGGCGACGAUCAGUAGCUGGUCUGAGAGGAUGAUCAGCCACACUGGGACUGAGACACGGCCCAGACUCCUACGGGAGGCAGCAGUUAGGAAUCUUGCGCAAUGGGGGAAACCCUGACGCAGCCAUGCCGCGUGAAUGAUGAAGGUCUUAGGAUUGUAAAAUUCUUUCAGCGGGGACGAUAAUGACGGUACCCGCAGAAGAAGCCCCGGCUAACUUCGUG
Molecule: ribosomal RNA, 432 nt
Filed under: uncultured bacterium
Lineage: Bacteria
Description: bacterial SSU rRNA
Rfam family: Bacterial small subunit ribosomal RNA
Source: RNAcentral